GGGCCCGCACAAGCGGUGGAGCAUGUGGUUUAAUUCGAUGCAACGCGAAGAACCUUACCUACUCUUGACAUCCAGAGAACCUUUUAGAGAUAGAAGGGUGCCUUCGGGAACUCUGAGACAGGUGCUGCAUGGCUGUCGUCAGCUCGUGUUGUGAAAUGUUGGGUUAAGUCCCGCAACGAGCGCAACCCCUUAUCCUUGUUUUGCCAGCACUUCGGGUGGGAACUCCAGGGAGACUGCCGUGAUAAACCGGAGGAAGGUGGGACGACGUCAAGUCAUCAUGGCCCUUACGAGUAGGGCUACACACGUGCUACAAUGGCAUAUACAGAGGGCUGCCAACUCGCGAGAAUGAGC
RNAcentral lists this ribosomal RNA (351 nucleotides) under uncultured bacterium. RNAcentral's name for it is "bacterial SSU rRNA". It matches the Rfam family "Bacterial small subunit ribosomal RNA", at positions 917 to 1268 of the family's 1533-position model. The record is from RNAcentral.